Molecule: ribosomal RNA, 502 nt
Filed under: uncultured bacterium
Lineage: Bacteria
Description: partial 16S ribosomal RNA
Rfam family: Bacterial small subunit ribosomal RNA
Source: RNAcentral
GACGAACGCUGGCGGCGUGCUUAACACAUGCAAGUCGAACGGUGAAGGGGUCUGCUUUUGUGGGCCCUGGAUGAGUGGCGAACGGGUGAGUAACACGUGAGUAACCUGCCCCCUUCUUCUGGAUAACCGCAUGAAAGUGUGGCUAAUACGGGAUAUUCUGGGUCUGUCGCAUGAUGGGUCUGGGAAAGCUUGCGCCUUUGGGUGUUUUUGGUGGGGGUUGGGGUCGCGGCCUAUCAGCUUGUUGGUGGGGUGAUGGCUGACCAAGGCGGUGACGGGUAGCGGUCCGGAGGGUGUGGACGGUGACAGGGGGACCGGGACACGUCCCAGACUCCUACGGGAGGCAGCAGUGGGGAAUAUUGCACAGUGGGCGCAAGCCUGAUGCAGCGACGCCUGGUGAGGGAUGGAGGCCUUCGGGUUGUAAGCCUCUUUCGCCAGUGAAGCAGGCCUGCUCCUUGUGGGUGGGUUGACGGUAGCUGGAUAAGAAGCGCCGGCUAACUACGUG